RNAcentral lists this ribosomal RNA (300 nucleotides) under uncultured bacterium. RNAcentral describes it as "bacterial SSU rRNA". It matches the Rfam family "Bacterial small subunit ribosomal RNA", at positions 30 to 306 of the family's 1533-position model. The record is from RNAcentral.
AGUGAACGCUGGCGGCAGGCCUAACACAUGCAAGUCGAGCGGCAGCGGGGUUCCCGCGAGGGGAUGCCGGCGAGCGGCGGACGGGUGAGGAACACAUCGGAAUCUGCCUGGUUGUGGGGGAUAACGUAGGGAAACUUACGCUAAUACCGCAUGCGACCCUGAGUCGACGGACUGGGGGUGAAAGUGAGGGACCUUCGGGCCGUCACGCGACCAGAUGAGCCGAUGUCGGAUUAGCUAGUUGGCGGGGGUAACGGCCCGCCCGAAGGCGGACGAUCCGUAGCUGGUCUGAGAGGAUGAUCA